RNAcentral lists this ribosomal RNA (505 nucleotides) under uncultured bacterium. RNAcentral's name for it is "partial 16S ribosomal RNA". It matches the Rfam family "Bacterial small subunit ribosomal RNA", at positions 28 to 523 of the family's 1533-position model. The record is from RNAcentral.
GAUGAACGCUAGCGACAGGCCUAACACAUGCAAGUCGAGGGGUAGCAUGGAAGUAGCAAUACUUUUGAUGACGACCGGCGCACGGGUGAGUAACGCGUAUGCAACCUACCUACUACAGGGGAAUAGCCCGAAGAAAUUCGGAUUAAUGCCGCAUAAUACAGGGGCACCGCAGGGUGAUAUUUGUUAAAGAUUAAUUGGUAGUAGAUGGGCAUGCGUUCCAUUAGCCAGUUGGUGAGGUAACGGCUCACCAAAGCAACGAUGGAUAGGGGAACUGAGAGGUUUAUCCCCCACACUGGUACUGAGACACGGACCAGACUCCUACGGGAGGCAGCAGUGAGGAAUAUUGGUCAAUGGGCGAGAGCCUGAACCAGCCAAGUCGCGUGAAGGAUGACUGCCCUAUGGGUUGUAAACUUCUUUUGUACUGGGGUAAAAAAGAGGACGUGUCCUUUCUUGCAAGUACAGUACGAAUAAGCAUCGGCUAACUCCGUGCCAGCCGCCGCAGUAA